Non-coding RNA from Acanthosepion pharaonis, 113 nucleotides. The record is from the annotation of a GenBank genome assembly. Lineage: Eukaryota; Metazoa; Mollusca; Cephalopoda; Sepiida; Sepiidae.
UUACGGCCUUAUCACGUUGAAACACGGCUUCCCGUAUAUCAUUGAAGUUAAGCAGUGCCGAACCUGGUCAGUACCUAGAUGGGUGACCGCUUGGGAAUAUUCAGUGCUGUAAG